This 295-nucleotide ribosomal RNA is filed under the name Fuligo septica var. flava. RNAcentral's name for it is "partial small subunit ribosomal RNA". It matches the Rfam family "Bacterial small subunit ribosomal RNA", at positions 686 to 956 of the family's 1533-position model. The record is from RNAcentral. Lineage: Eukaryota; Evosea; Eumycetozoa; Physariida; Physaraceae.
AUCCGUUGAUAUAGGAAGACUUUCGAUGGCGAAGGCAUUUACCGAUUUGGUUCUGACGCUAGGUACUAAAGCUUGGGUAGAAAGAGGAUUAGAGACCUCGUAGUCCAUGCCUUAAACAAUGAGUGUUCAACGUCUUAUAAUACUCUGGACCACCUUGCAGUGGUAUCCUUCGAGGAUUAUUGGGGGUUUGAAGUUAACGCGCGAAACACCGCCUGGGGAAUGUGGCCGCAAGGUUAAACUCAAAGGAAUUGACGGAGGCUUAUACAAAGAGUGGAGCAUGUGGUUUAAUUCGAGA